RNAcentral lists this ribosomal RNA (550 nucleotides) under uncultured bacterium. Its description in RNAcentral is "bacterial SSU rRNA". It matches the Rfam family "Bacterial small subunit ribosomal RNA", at positions 353 to 896 of the family's 1533-position model. The record is from RNAcentral.
AGUGGGGAAUAUUGCACAAUGGAGGAAACUCUGAUGCAGCCAUGCCGCGUGUGUGAAGAAGGCUUUCGGGUUGUAAAGCACUUUCAGCGAGGAGGAAAGGGUGCAGGUUAAUACCCUGUAUCUGUGACGUUACUCGCAGAAGAAGCACCGGCUAACUCCGUGCCAGCAGCCGCGGUAAUACGGAGGGUGCGAGCGUUAAUCGGAAUUACUGGGCGUAAAGCGCGCGUAGGCGGUUAAUUAAGUCAGAUGUGAAAGCCCAGGGCUCAACCUUGGAACUGCAUUUGAAACUGGUUAACUAGAGUUUUGUAGAGGGUGGUAGAAUUUCAGGUGUAGCGGUGAAUGCGUAGAGAUCUGAAGGAAUACCAGUGGCGAAGGCGGCCACCUGGACAAAGACUGACGCUGAGGCGCGAAGGCGUGGGGAGCAAACGGGAUUAGAUACCCCGGUAGUCCACGCAGUAAACGAUGUCUAUUAGAAGUUUGUGGCUAUAUGCCGUGGGUUUCAAAGCUAACGCAUUAAAUAGACCNCCUNAAAAGUACGGCCGCAAGGUUA